Molecule: long non-coding RNA, 1378 nt
Filed under: Homo sapiens (human)
Lineage: Eukaryota; Metazoa; Chordata; Mammalia; Primates; Hominidae
Description: HSALNT0328190
Source: RNAcentral
AUAGAAGAAGUGGUUAGGUAAGACUGGGUGUAGUCAUGUGAAGAUGUAGAGAAGAACUUUCCAAGCAGAAGAGACACAAAAUGCAAAAGCUAUGAGAUGGGCAAGAGCAUAUGUGUUAAUAAGACAGAAGGAAAGCCUGUGUGGAUGAGCAAUGGGAAAAGAGAAGAGAAAAGAAAAGAAAGAUGAAGUCUGAAGUCUAAGGAACAGGAACAAGUCUGAAUCUUGUACAGCCUUGUAGCCCAUGGAGUCUAAAAACUCAAACGUAUCUAAAAGCCAUGACACAGAAGGCCUGGAGACUGCAUGGAAUGAUGAGGACUGCAGUGAACUCUGAAGUGCCUACCCAUGUGAAACGAACAAGUGCUAUUCGGAAGAAGCAGGUUGUGUUAAUCUGAGGCCUUUGAGAUACUAUAUGAACUGCUCCAACAUUCUGAAGAGAAGGUCUGGAUCAUUUAAGUAGGACUUGCAAAGAAAGUGGCCUAGAUCCUUAGCUGAGCUGAUCACUUACCUCAAACCUAUAAAGAAGUGGAGGGGCCAAGAAUAGGUGUUGGAUAUCAGCGGGAGAGUUUCAUCAAAGAGCUGUCAGUUUCAUCUCAACCUUACCCUCCAGGAGAGGUAAGAUGUCCUCUGUCUCACAAUAAAUGAGUUUGACUUUUGGUCCUGGGCAUCUGUGGUACUGAGAGCUUAGGGCUGGCUCCAUGCUUUAAAAUAUGUAUAUGUGAGAACUGCAUGAACUCGCCAGUGCGGAGAUGAAAAAGAAAGAAAAAAGUCAGGAAGCUCCAGAAGCUUUCUACAUUUCCAUUUGAGAUAAGGACAAGGAUGCUUGAAUGUUUUUCUUGAAGAAGUGAACAAAUGGAACAGAAAUCUACAUUUUACCUGAGAGAGGAAAGAGAGUGCAUAACUGUUUCUCAUGAACCACAGUGAAGUUUGAGAGCAUAGGCUCAGAACCAACUCAAAUCCUCUAUACAAAGAUUGCCUGGAGAGUCAAGGUGAACACCCCUCCUACGCACACACCUGCCAACACACACACAAAAGACAGAGGAAGACUACAGGAUUGCAAAAGGAGAGAGAAGGAACACAAGUGGCUAGCUGAAGGAAAAGUAUUGCUUAAAUUUGGGGACCACUGCAGAAGGUUUCCAAUAGCACUCCAAAAAAAUAGGAGGCCACAUGAAUCAUAAUCAAUCCCAAAGGAAUCCAUCAUAAAUACUGGUCACAGCUGGAAGUAACCAAUACUCUAUUGGUGUCUGUCCUUGUUCAUGUACUUGUCUCCCCACCACUCCAAUCACUGAAGCUGAGUCUCUUGGGUGGUGUGCAAAGGAGAUCGAAUCCAGCCAAGUGACAGGAUGAAAGAGAAUCUGACCACACUCUCCAUACUUGCCAC